CCUACGGGGGGCAGCAGUGAGGAAUAUUGGUCAAUGGACGAGAGUCUGAACCAGCCAAGUAGCGUGAAGGAUGACUGCCCUAUGGGUUGUAAACUUCUUUUAUAUGGGAAUAAAAUGUUCCACGUGUGGGAUUUUGUAUGUACCAUAUGAAUAAGGAUCGGCAAACUCCGUGCCAGCAGCCGCGGUAAUACGGAGGAUCCGAGCGUUAUCCGGAUUUAUUGGGUUUAAAGGGAGCGUAGGUGGAUUGUUAAGUCAGUUGUGAAAGUUUGCGGCUCAACCGUAAAAUUGCAGUUGAAACUGGCAGUCUUGAGUACAGUAGAGGUGGGCGGAAUUCGUGGUGUAGCGGUGAAAUGCUUAGAUAUCACGAAGAACUCCGAUUGCGAAGGCAGUUCACUGGACUGCAACUGACACUGAGGCUCGAAAGUGUGGGUAUCAAACAGGAUUAGAUACCCGGGUAGUC
This 460-nucleotide ribosomal RNA is filed under the name uncultured bacterium. Its description in RNAcentral is "partial 16S ribosomal RNA". It matches the Rfam family "Bacterial small subunit ribosomal RNA", at positions 338 to 795 of the family's 1533-position model. The record is from RNAcentral.